GCGAGGUAACGGCUCACCAAGGCUAUGACGGGUAGCUGGUGUGAGAGCGCGACCAGUCACACUGGGAGUGAGACACGGCCCAGAAUCUUACGGGAGGCAGCAGUGGGGAAUAUUGCGCAAUGGGUGAAAGCCUGACGCAGGGACGCCGCGUGGGGGAGGAAGUCCUUAGGGUUGUAAACCCCUGUCAGGUGGGACGAACCCCGGGUCGGGGAAUAGCCGGCUCGACUGACGGUACCACCAGAGGAAGCUCCGGCUAACUCCGUGCCAGCAGCCGCGGUAAUACGGAGGGAGCGAGCGUUGUUCGGAAUCACUGGGCGUAAAGGGCGCGUAGGCGGCCGGAUAAGUCGUGUGUGAAAGGCCGGGGCUCAACCCCGCGCAUUGCACGCGAUACUGUUUGGCUAGAGAAAGGUAGGGGCGAGCGGAAUUUCCGGUGUAGCGGUGGAAUGCGUCGAUAUCGGGAGGAACACUCGUGGCGAGGGCGGCUCGCUGGGCCUUUUCUGACGUUGAAGCGCGAAAGCGUGGGGAGCAAACAGGAUUAGAUACCCUGGUAGUCCACUCCGUAAACGCUGGGCCAUAGGUGUUGGGAGGCUUGGUCCUCUCAGCGUCGACGCUAACGCAUUAAGUG
Molecule: ribosomal RNA, 625 nt
Filed under: uncultured Actinomycetes bacterium
Lineage: Bacteria; Bacillati; Actinomycetota; Actinomycetes
Description: bacterial SSU rRNA
Rfam family: Bacterial small subunit ribosomal RNA
Source: RNAcentral